This is a long non-coding RNA of Sarcophilus harrisii (Tasmanian devil), 827 nucleotides long. RefSeq lists it as uncharacterized. The transcript has 2 exons. The record is from RefSeq and is a predicted model, not a curated record. Lineage: Eukaryota; Metazoa; Chordata; Mammalia; Dasyuromorphia; Dasyuridae.
AACGAAUGAGAUCACAAAUGAAAUAGUAGAGGAGGAGAAGAAAAGAGGGCCCAGGACAGAGUCUUAGGGAACACUUAUGGUUAAUGGGCAUGACCUGAAUAAAGAUCCAGCAAGAGAGUCUGAAAAGUGGUCAGAUCGUUCGAAGGAAAGUCAGGGGAGUGUCACUAAAAUCUAGCGAGAAGGGGGUAUCAAGGAGAAGAGAGUCACUGGGUUCACUCCAUGGCCUGAGGAACCGCUCAUCUUGGUUCCAGCGACAAGAUUUCAGAAUUUUUCUUCAGGAUGUUUUUGAAUCAACCACCGAUCAGCCAACCAGAAUAUAUGAAACACCUCUGGGUGCCUCUGCAGCUGUUCUUUUUCAUCUUCUGGGAAAGCCAGAAAGCAGGCGAGGGACCUGGGACACAAGGAAGGACAGAGAGCUGGGGAUUCAGAGUUAGAAGGAAAGGCCAGUCUUCCGAUUUUCCCGAUAAGUAAACGGAGACCCAGAGAGUUUGGGACAAUCAGAGUUACAGCCUAUGCUGCCCUAUAUGCUACCUUUCCACAUGGCAGCAAAUCCAUUUUCAAUGGGAAUAUAAAUAGAGAAUAUUGAUGAGCUACAUUUAAAAUAGGAAUAUCCAUCCAACAGUCCUAUACAUCACCAGUCUCCCUCAUGAUAACCAGUCUAUAAUGUUCACAGUCCUUAUGGUGACUCCAGACCCCUUUAGGAGCACCUUUAAACUGACUUUGAUUUGAAUGGCAGCUUUGUUCUUUAAACACACUCUUUCCCAUACACAUUCACUCUCAAAAAAAAAAAAAAAAAAAGUCUAUUAACAUGCACCCUGAGAAUAAUA